CUGAAACAUCUAAGUACCCCGAGGAAAAGAAAUCAACCGAGAUUCCCCCAGUAGCGGCGAGCGAACGGGGAGGAGCCCAGAGCCUGAAUCAGUGUGUGUGUUAGUGGAAGCGUCUGGAAAGGCGCGCAAUACAGGGUGACAGCCCCGUACACAAAAAUGCACAUACUGUGAGCUCGAUGAGUAGGGCGGGACACGUGGUAUCCUGUCUGAAUAUGGGGGGACCAUCCUCCAAGGCUAAAUACUCCUGACUGACCG
This 255-nucleotide ribosomal RNA is filed under the name Escherichia coli. RNAcentral's name for it is "partial 23S ribosomal RNA". It matches the Rfam family "Bacterial large subunit ribosomal RNA", at positions 193 to 486 of the family's 2925-position model. The record is from RNAcentral. Lineage: Bacteria; Pseudomonadati; Pseudomonadota; Gammaproteobacteria; Enterobacterales; Enterobacteriaceae.